UGGGUUAUCGCCAAAUGGUAAGGCAGUGGGUCUUGAUCCCACAAUUACAGGUUCGAGUCCUGUUAGCCCAG
Molecule: transfer RNA, 71 nt
Filed under: Bacteriophage sp.
Description: tRNA-Gln
Rfam family: tRNA
About the family: Transfer RNA (tRNA) molecules are approximately 80 nucleotides in length. Their secondary structure includes four short double-helical elements and three loops (D, anti-codon, and T loops).
Source: RNAcentral